AUUUAAGUAGUUUAAUUAAAAAUUCUGAUUUGUGGUGUCAGAGAUAUAGAUUUAUUUAUCUUAGAUC
RNAcentral lists this transfer RNA (67 nucleotides) under Somatochlora hineana. RNAcentral's name for it is "tRNA-His". Lineage: Eukaryota; Metazoa; Arthropoda; Insecta; Odonata; Corduliidae. The record is from RNAcentral.